This 35-nucleotide small nuclear RNA is filed under the name Cervus elaphus hippelaphus. The record is from RNAcentral. Lineage: Eukaryota; Metazoa; Chordata; Mammalia; Artiodactyla; Cervidae.
GUGCUCGCUUCAGCAGCACAUAUACUAAAAUUGAA